UGCGGUAUUUUAACUGUACUAAGGCCUUUAAUAAUUUGCCUUAUAAUUUGAGGCUAGAAUGAAUGGUUUGACGAAGGUUAAUCUGUCUCUAUUUUAUUUUUUAGAAAUUAAUUUUUAGAGUGAAAAAGCUUGUAUUUUUUAAAGGGACGAGAAGACCCUAUUGAGCUUGUAAUUUUAUUACUAUUGUUAAUAUUAUUUGAGUGGUAUAUAAAUUUUAAUUGGGGUGAUUAAGGAAUAAAAUGAUUUUUAGUAACUUCCUUAUAUUUAAUAUUGUUAGAUAAAGUAACCAAUAUAUUAUUGCUUAUAUUAUAGUUACCAUAGGGAUAACAGCGUAAUUUGUUUAGAGAGUUCUUAUUGAAAAACAAGAUUGCGACCUCGAUGUUGGAUUAAAGUAACCUUAAGGUGCAGAAGCUU
RNAcentral lists this ribosomal RNA (414 nucleotides) under Histioteuthidae environmental sample cf. Stigmatoteuthis hoylei. RNAcentral's name for it is "partial 16S ribosomal RNA". It matches the Rfam family "Bacterial large subunit ribosomal RNA", at positions 1932 to 2564 of the family's 2925-position model. The record is from RNAcentral. Lineage: Eukaryota; Metazoa; Mollusca; Cephalopoda; Oegopsida; Histioteuthidae.